Molecule: long non-coding RNA, 12088 nt
Filed under: Populus trichocarpa (black cottonwood)
Lineage: Eukaryota; Viridiplantae; Streptophyta; Magnoliopsida; Malpighiales; Salicaceae
Description: long non-coding RNA (PTRI_LNC003684)
Source: RNAcentral
ACCACAUGUUUUUAAUUACACAGGCACUCCACCCACAAAUUUACAGACCACAAGUGGAACAAAAGCAUAUAGGUUGCCCUACAACUCGACAGUCCAACUUGUUAUGCAAGAUACUGGGAUCAUAUCCCCUGAGAACCAUCCAAUCCAUCUACAUGGAUUCAAUUUCUUUGCUGUUGGUAGGGGAGUAGGGAAUUACAAUCCGAAGACUGAUCCUAAGAAAUUCAACCUUGUUGACCCUGUUGAACGGAACACAAUUGGAGUACCUUCUGGUGGAUGGGUUGCCAUAAGAUUUCGUGCCGAUAAUCCUGGUAAUUGAUGUUUUUGGUUUAUGUCCACUAAAUUUGAACUUGAGAAAUUUUUCAUAAUUCAUAUUCUUUAUUUUUAUUUUUUCAAUUUUUGAAGGAGUUUGGUUCAUGCAUUGCCAUCUCGAGGUGCACACUACAUGGGGACUUAAGAUGGCAUUCUUGGUGGACAAUGGCAAAGGCCCUAACGAGUCACUUCUGCCGCCUCCAAGCGAUCUUCCAAAAUGUUAAACCAGCUGAAGAAAUUAAUUUACUUGAGGGAUAGAAGCAGUAGCGGAUCAGAACAGGGGUCCGAGCCGAAAGAUCCUAUGCUCGAAAAGAGAGGAGUAAUAUAUAUAUAUAUAUAAACACACACACACACAUAUAAAAAAGAAAAGUUGAGAGUUAAAAGAUCCAAUUUGUUUCUUGAGUAAUCUGAAAUAUUUGCUCAAGCGAGUUUGAAUAAAAUUUUAUGAGCGGUACUGUUGUGGAAAUUCAAAUGUUAUUUUUUUCCCGUCAAAUAUAUAUAUUGAGAAUUUUUAUGGCUUAGCCAAUUAAUUUGUUUCUUUAAUAUGGUUUAUCAUUUUUUUUUCUUAUUGUGAGAAAUCUAGUUGUAUUAACAUGUUACUCCAUGAGAUACAAUUGUAAAUCACAAAAGAACGUGCAUCAUCUAACCACACUUCAUUUAAAACUGCUAACAAAACAAAUGGAAGGUUUUUGUUAGAGGUCGAGUUAGUACACAUGAAAUUAUUUCUUAGAUCGCUAAUUAAAGGUUAUAAAAAACAUUUGCAAUUUAACUCAACAAGAAUUUUACUUUGAAGAACCAAAAUUAUAUAUAAUUUAUCAUCCACAUCCUAUGUUUAUAACGAUACGCAAACGAGAAGUAUAAAUUACAACAAAGUCAAUCAAUCAUUUAAAAAGUUUGCAAAUUCAAUCAAGAACUUAGUAUGAGAACCACUUAACCACAUAAAAAGAAAUAAACACAUAAUAUGCAUCAACUUGUAGAAAAAAUUCAUCAACUUAAUAAAAAUUCAUUAUAUAAGAGUAUUUAUGUGUAAACCUUAAAAUUAAUAGGUCAGGCAUGCACCCAAUUUAAAUAAAAUCCAAAAUAAUUAAAAUUAGAUUUAAAGUAAUAAAAAUAAAUAAAACAAUAGUCUAUAAUUAUUUUUCACUCUUUGCCACAUAUAAUAUUGAAAAAGAUCCAAGAAAAAUAAUUGUUGAAGAAUCCUUGCUGAACACAAGCUUGAUGCUUUGUAAUAUAAGAAUUAAUUUUUGACCAUUUAAUUCUUCUUAUUUGAUAUAAAAUCCUUGUUAAAUAAGUAAGCCAAAGGUUCCUACAUAAGUUCUCAAUAGCAUUAAGAAUUUCUUGUAGUGAAUGGAAUCCAUAACUUUUAAGAAAACAAUGUCUUUUUUGUUUUUGUACUUUUCUGAUAGAUUCUAGGUCCAACUUCAAAUAUAUCAUUCUCUCUUGUUUGAAUGAAUUAACGAGUCUACCAUAUAUAUUUGAAGAGUUAUAGAUAUCUAGUUUCCAAACCAAUUGGAAUCGAACCCAAAAUCCUCCUAUAACUUCAUAUAUGACCCAAAAAGUAGAUAAAGGUUUAGAUUGACAGAUUUGAGAUUUUUAAACCCAAGCCUCUUGACUUAACCUAUUGAACUCCUCUUGGAUCCAUUUCGUUUAUGCCCUAGAAUAAAUCCAAAUGAUACUCCUAAUGGAUCAUUUGAUGUCAUGUAGGAAUGCAAUUUAGGGUUUAAAUUAAGAGAAUUGAAAAAAAUGGAUGAAUUCGAUCAUAAUUGGAAGAAUUGAAAGACCAAGGAUCAAAAUGAAAAAAAUGACAAAGUUUGGAAGUCCAAUUGAUUCAAUUGAGAAACUAAUUGAGGAGAAAAAAUAGAAUUGAGGGAAAAUUAGCUAGAUUUGCAAGUCAAUGGCCAAAAUAAAAGAGAUGAGAAAUUUUGGAAUUCCAAUUAUUCAAUCAAGGGCUUAAUUGAGGAGAAAAAAUAAAUUUUGGAGUGAAUUUGAUAAAAAAAAAAAUAGAAGAGUUAGAGACCAAAGACCAAAAUGGAAUAUGUGUUUAAAUUUAAGGAUCCUAUUAACUCAAUUAAGAGUGUGAUUGAAGAGAAUAAUUAAAAUUUUUGGAGUCAAUUUGAUAAAAAAAAAUGAAAGAAUUAAAAGAUCAAAGACCAAAAUGAAAUAGGCAUUGAAUUUUGAGGAUUGUAUUAAUUCAAUUAGGGACUUAAUUGAAAUUUUUUUUUGAUAUUUGAGGUCAAUUUGACCAAAAAUACACAAAUUUAAAAUCCAAAGACUGAUAUGUAAAAGGUGCCAACAUUGAUGGACUAAUAUGUAAAAGAAACCUUUGAUAAUUAAUACAUAUUGAUCAAAAAUAAAGAAAUUAGAAGUAUGGGGAUUAAGUUGUAACCAAAGAAAAGGAUGAAAAUAACAAAAAAAAAAUGAUAUAAUGGCAUUUAAAAUAAAUGUUGCAUAACAUCAUUUAUAAGAAAUAAUCAAAGGCACCAAACAACAUUGUUUUAAGUGGGGGUAGAUAAACUUUUUUCUCCUUCAUACCAUGCAUGCCAGUUUUUGUCCUUUUUUUUUUUGCACUUGCAUUUGACAGGAUGUUGGACCACUAUUUCUCUUUCUCACGCGAACAUUAAAUGCCCAGAAACAUGUCAUUUUCUUCCCCUGUAAUUAUACUUCACUUUAAGCCAAAGACCUAUUGCAUUGUCUCCAAGUGGUGGCAGAAAAUGCAUGCUAAAUGAGCCAACCCAAACAUUUUAUAUAAAGUGUACAACAAUGAUGGAUGACCAAGAUUUGUCUAAAGAGAUUAACGAACAAGAUUAUUUAACCUAGAAAGGUUUUAGGACCUUCCUCUAAAAAGAAACUUAAAGAUAGAAAGUUCGAAUAAGAGAGAGAGAGAUUUUAGGAAGGGAGGUUUGAGCUCAAACCAACUUAUCUAAGCGGAAGAAGAGAUUGAGGAGAGAAAGAAGAAGGGAAGAAAAAGAGAGAAAACUAUACCCAAACACAAAAAAAAAACAAAACCUUAAUUGUGAGGAAGAAAGGAGUUGGAUUUUUGGGUCACUCAAAUGGUUCAUUCUGAACCAGAGAGUUCCACAGGGGAGAAAGAAGAAAGAGAGGAAGAAAAAGGAAGAAAAAAAACACAAAUCAAAAAGAAAGAAAAAACCUUAGCCUAGAGAGAGAAAACCACUCAUAAUACCACUCCAUCUCCGGUCGGCCACUAUAAUAGCCACUAGGAGCCUCCACAGCACCUUCGUACUUUGUUGAAACUACCCUUGAAACAAGUCACAACUCUUUUCUUUCUUUCUUUUUUCUCUUUAGAAUUUAUGAAAAAAUAAUACGAAAUAAUGCAUUUUGAUUUUUAAAUGCAUGAAUACAAGUUAAAAAUAGUUUUUUUUUGCAUAGAUAUUGUGCGUUCUUAUAAAAAAUAUGGUAGCCAAAUAUGUGAAAAAUACAUGGAUAAAAAUUUAAAGUUAGGGUUUUAAAAGUUUAUUUGUAUUUAAUGUUGGUUUUGCAUGCCUCUUAUUAAUCCAAAAAAAAUGAUUAGAAGAUUAAAUGUGAUGAUUUUGAUUAAAAUACAAAUGCAUGAAAGAAAAAUCAAAACUUGUGUUUUUAAGUUUGCUUGUAACCUAGACUUGGAAUGAUAAAGUUAGGGUUUUGAAAUGUGCUUUGUUUUUUAGAUGAUAGGGCAUGAAAAAUACUUGAAUUCAAAUAUUACAUGCUACCUUGAUUGUGAAUUAAAAAACAAAUCAUUAAAUUUAUUUUUGCUUCCUUGAAUGAUACAUAAAUGAAUAAUAUGACUUAACAUCUUUUAUUCUUAAGAUUAAAUUGCUAUCUUAAGUUUUUAUUCUUAUGCUUGUUAUAGUUAUCUUAGUCUUCAUGAUUAUGCUAAAAAAUAUGUUCCCAAUUCCAAGUGUUUUGGCCAAGCCUCUUUCACGCACAAAAAAAAAACAAAACUACAUCUAUUAAAAUUUCAAGCAAGUUCGUUAAUCAGUGUGUCAUUUCAAUAUUUUUAUGUUUUCAUGUCCUUAUUUCCCAAAAAAAAAAUUAUUUAUCAUAUUAGAUGUUUUUAUAUUUCGUUUCUAUAAUUUGUUCAUGGGCCCGACAUUCCAAAACUCUUUUAAAAACCUAAGAUUAUUCUAACAUAGUGUCUUAGGAUAAUCUAAUUUGUUGUCAAAAUCUACUUUUUUGAAAGAAAUCAAAGCUCCUUUUUUUUAAUCAAUGAAGUCUUUUAUUUUAUGGAUUAACGCCUAAAUUUCUUGCUCAAAAUCUCAAAAAGAUAAAAUCUCCUAUUUUAGAUAUUAAUAACAACAUUCCUCAUUUAUAUGAAAUCUUCUAAUUUUAUAGAUUAAUAUCAAGAAUUUUAUAAAAUUCCUCCAUCGAUAAAAUCUUUUAUUUUUAGAGAUUAAUGUAAUUUUUUUUGAAAAAUUUCUUAUUUUGACAAAAUCUUUUAUUUUAGGAAUUAACAUAAUUGUUUUUUGAAAAACACUCAUUUCAAUAAAAUCUCUUAUUUUUAUAGAUUAACAUAAAAAUUUCAUUGAAAUUCUCACUCAAUAAAAUCUUCUUUCGGGGAUUAAUGUCAAACUUCACGCUAACUUUCUAGAAUCUCUUUUAAAAAUAAAUACCAUAAAAAAAAGUAGGCUUGGAAAUAGAACAACAACAUAAAAAUUAAUUUUUUAAAAAAAAACACAUAGCACACCUUUUAAAAGAAACCAAAUAAAUAAUUAAUGCAAUGUUUUUAAAGGAAGUGAAUUUUUCUUAAAGGAAAUUGUACCUUUUAAUAAUCAUGUUUUCUUAUAAUUAAAAUUAGUAAGUGCCUAACUUUGAUUCAAAAGCAAAGCAAUUUUUAUUCAUAAAUUUGUUUUUUACGAAAAAAAUCCAGAUAUUAGUCCAUCACUAUUCUAGUUAAAUACUAAUUUUAAAUCAAAACUAACCAUCAUUCAAAACAAACAACACAACACAACUUGAGUAUCAAACUAGAUAGUUGGCCGCUCUAUAUUAUGGGUUAGAUUAGUUUUUUUAAUUUAAAAAAUAUUUAAUCAUUGCUAAAAAUUUUAAAGUAGAAAAAAAAUUUGAACUAUAUAAGAGUUAAUUUGAUAUGAUCCGAUUAACUUAACAAGUCCCAAGAUAACUUAUAUUAUUGGUAUAAAUAUAAUUUGACUCAAGAAAAAAUAUUUAAGACGAUAAUCUUUUUUUAAUGUUGAUACGGAAAAAUAUUGGAUCGACCAGGGUCAACUGGAGUUAAUUUGCAAAAUUAACAACUUGGCUCAUGAGACCAUGAUAGUUUCAUAUAAAGCAAAUCAAAACAAAUAAUAAAACUCAAUUCUUAAUCAACCGAAUGUUCAAGAAUGAAAUAUAAAAAAAUAAUUAAAAAAGAGGAUUAAAAAGACAACUCAAGUUAGCAUGUCAAAGCAAUAACUCAGGUCAUGAGACCAGGAUAACCCCAUAGAAAGUAAAUUGACACAAAUUAUAAAGUAUAAUUCUUAAUCAAUCCAAUGUUGAAGGGUGAAAUUAAAAAAAAUCAAUUAAAAAAAGGACACGAAAAUACCAAGUCAAACCAGAUUAAAAUCCCAAACCCAUAACCCGGGUCAUGAGACUAGAAUAACCUCAUAAAAAAGUAAACCAAAAAAUGACAUAAUCCAAUCUAUGAUAACUUGUCAACCCUGCAACCUGAGUUAUGAGAGUAGGAUAACUUAUAAAAAAUUAAAACAAAUUAUGAAGCCAAUUAUCAAUCAAUUCAUUGUUGAUAGAUGAAAUUGAAAAAAAAAUCCAUUCUAAAAAAAGGCACAACAAAACAACCCAAGUUUAUCCAGUUUAACCUGCAAAACUCGUGACCUAGGUCAUGAGACCGAAAUAGCCUUAUAUAAAGCAAAUCAAAAUAAAUUAUAAAGCCUAAUUCAUAAUAAACUAAAUGUUAAAGGAUGAAAUUGAAAAAAAAAUGAUAAUUAAAAAAUAAAAAACUUGAAUCAACCAAGUUAAUUUGCCAAGCCCACAACACGGAUUAUGAGACUAUGAUAACUACAUAGAAAGCAAACACAAGAAAUCAUGGAGCUCAAUCUCUAGUAAAUCAAUAUUAAAAGAUUAAAUUAUAAAAAAAAAAGCAUAGAUUAAAAAAAUAUCAUUGCAAUGAAUAAUAUUUUAUGAGGUGAUGCAUAAUAAAAACAUCAUCUUUUUUAGUUUUUUUUUUAAUGUAAUUGUUUUCAUAUAUUCAAUAAUAUUUUUUUAAAAAAUAAUUAUUUUUAAUGGAUAAUUAUUAUCUAUUUGGUAUGUUAGAGAAUAAUAUAAAUCAUAUCCUGAAACCUCAUCUAACAAUUUAAGUUAUUGGAUUGAGAUGAUUCUUUGAUAUAGUGGAAGUUUUCGCCAUGACAAAAAAUCUUCUUAGUUUUCAAACAAGUCAUGAUUUGCAAGUCAUGAUUUGAUAAAUUUCUAACUUUCCUUUUUAAAAAUAAAAUAAAAUGAAUUAGCUUAUAUGUGGAGUUAAAGUACUUAUUUCAACACAACAGUAACAUAAAAUGGAAAUUUCUUAUUAUAGCGUGUUAUGUAACUAAUUCAUAUAAUGUUUUUUUUUAGUAUAUUAAUAAUCAAAUAAUAAAGUGUUUGGUAAAGGAAAAAGACAAAGAAAAACACACCAUUUUUAUUAUAUUUACUUCUUUUAAAAGUUUGAGGUUUAAUAUAUUAAAAUGGAUCUCACACGUAUGAAAGUUUUUUUUUAAAUAUAAUUUAGACUUUUAAAAGCUUCUUAAUGUUUUUUUUUUUUAAAAGUAUUCUAUUAAGCCUAGGUUAAGAACUUAUGUUAAUUCAAUUACCCCAAAAAAAUAAAAAAGAAACAAAGAAAGAAAUAGUUGUAGUCAGGGGUGAGCAAAAAAACCAAAAAACCGAGAAAACCGGAAAAACAAUAACCGAAAAAACCAAACCAUGAAAAAAACCGAUUAAAUCGAUUAAAAUUUUAAAAAACAGACCGGUUCAGUUUCGGUUUUAUAAGCCUGAAACCGAAAAAACUAAACCCAAACAAAAAAAAACCGGAAAAAAAUCAAGCCAAACCGGAAAAAUCAAAAAAACCGAGCCAAAAUCGAGCCAAACAUAGCCAAAACCGAGUCAAACAAAAAAACCGAGCCAAACCGGUUUGAACCGGUUUUUGUCAAAAAAAUCGAACUGAAACCGGUCGGUUUGAACCGGUUUCUGUUUAUUUUUUUUUUAAAUUUCAGUUUGAUUAUUUUUUUUUUAUAAAAACCAAAUCGAACCGAAAAUGAUCACCCCUAAUUGAAGUCAUUGAUUAGCUACUCAAGUACAUAACACAUAAACAUACAUAUACAUAGGAUCAAGUUUGGAUUAAGUAUAAGGUUAAGUUUGACAAUAUAUAUAUAUAUAUAUAUAUAUAUAUAUAAGAUAAUUAUUAAAACAAAACAUAUUUAAAUCGGUUAUCAUUCAUGUCAAAAAGUAUUCCUAUUUUAAUUUAAUUAAGUUAAAAGGGCAAUAAUUUAAUAAUUUCAACAUGGAAAUGGUAUGUUAAACUAUGCAUUAAAAUUCAUAUUUUAAAUAAUACAUUUAGUAAUUAAUUUUAUAUGUAAAAGGUAAUAAAACAGGUGUUAAUAUUCUUAUUUUAGUCUUUUAGGUUUAUAAAUUGUUUAAGGGUUGAAUCAAAUAUGGUUUGACAUAGAAUUCGUGUUUUAUAUAUAAUUAUCAAUUUAAUAUGUAAUGGCAUUUAAUCAUGUGAUGGAUGGAGGGUUUAGCUCAACCAAAUUGUUAAAGUUUAUGCACUCAGAAAACUCAUUUUUUUUAUUUGGUUUUUUUAUGUUUUAAAAAUGUUUUUAAAAAAAUUUAAUUUUUUUAUUUUAAAUUAAUUUUUUUUAAUAUUUUUAGAUCAUUUUAAUGUGUUAAUAUCAAAAAUAAUUUAAAUCGGUUAAAAAAAAUAUUAUUAUACAUUUUUUAGUAAAAAAUACUUUAUUGAACAAUUACAACCACACUCUCAAACACACUUAGAACUAGUUUAAACAGUGAAUAAGCAGCAAAACGUGAGCAGCAUCUCCUCUAGUGAUCUAACCUGCUAGCAUUCUAUUGAAAUUGAUCUAAUGAUGCAUGGAUAAUGAGCCAGGAAAAAACACAUUACCGUCGAAAGGAGGACCUGGUGCGUGUCCGGCAUCCAUCAAGAGACCUGCAAGUAAUAUUGGGCCAUCCCCAAGGAGGAGGAUUGCAAGCAAUGCCUCGAGGAGGAGUGUUAGGCCUACCGAACUUUACCCAUUUUUUUUUUGUUCUUAGGCUUUCGACAUCUGUUGUUGAAUAAGAAAAGCAAUAUUUGGGUCAUCACGAAAGCUUUCAAGACCUCAAGCGCCGGAUAAUUAGUAAUUUGCCCUAAAGCUGGAGCUGAAAAGUAUGGUGGAAAAUCAUAUUGAAUUAUGUAUUUGAAACGUUAAUUAAGAUCAUUAUUUUAAAAUAUUAUUUGUCCACUAAUUGCUAUUGAAUUUAAAAUAAUACACUUUUAAAACUAAUAUAAAGUUACCAAGAGUCAAUUUGAUAGCAGUAUGGGAGACCCUGCUUGAAUAAAAUCUCAUUGAAUUUGGUCAGUGAGUUUUAGAAUAAAGUGAAAUAAAAAGUUAUUUCAAAACAUAACCAAUAUUUUUAGUUAUUUGUCUAAAAAGUUUAGUAUAUCCCAUAAAAAUCAUGAAUUUUGGAUGAAAUAAAAUCAAUAAAUCAAUUCUAAAAUCAAACACCGAUUGAAUUUUUUUUUACUUUGAUCCCUGAACAUUUUAAUCUAACCCUUGAAUUCAUUUUCUUUAUAUCAUGAAUUCAACACUCUUCAGGUAAAAAAGUUACCCCAAAUUACAUUAAGCUCUUGUAUUGCCUCAAAGAACGAAUCACAUAACUAGACAUUGUUCGUAGCUAAUGUGAGUUAGCUCAAUCGGGAUGUCAUGUCCUAGAAAGUAACAAAACAAAAGAAACUUUAAGGGCAACUUUAUGGGAAUGUGAUUAGUUAAGGUGACUUGCCUGAUGCUGAGUUGACCAAAUGUUCUUUUUAUCCCGUAUUUGUUAUACUUUUUUCAACUAGUGGAGUAGAUAGUAGGACAAGAGGAUGUUUUCAAGAUCAAAAUGUAGGAAGUGGGUACCAAAUUUAAUCAUUUCACAGCAAAAAAAAUCAAACUUCCAUGUAAGGUUCCUAACAAAUGAAUGCUCAUAGUUUGCUUCCAAAUCUACGUAGAACCAUGAACAGGAGUACUUUAUGGAGCACGUAAGAAAUCCAUCGAGAUUAGGAUUCAAAAUCUUGUUCUCCAAGAAUGUGCUCACCCAACUAACCUAACUGAGAAAAACGACAUGGCAACAAUUCCCCUAAUCCCUUUAUAAGGUUGAGGUAGUCAGCUACAGAUGAAUGCAACAAGCUUGAAAUAAGAAAGAAGUAUAUCAAAUAGCGAGAGAGAGGAUUGAAAGGGAAUGAUCAGAAAGUCAGCAAAAAUGGAGUACUCGUGGUUCCGUUUUAUGCUUCUUGCUGUCAGCCUCUUCCCUGCUUUGGUCGAAUGCAGGGUUCGGCAUUACAAAUUUAAUGUAAGUUUGCGUUGUUAGUAUUAUUUUUAUAGAACAAACUUGGAUAUGGUCUAGCCUUUUUGCAGCUAAAAGGCUAUAGCACGCCGUCAUGAGUGACCAAAGCUCGAAAUGCUCGAGCUUGAGGUCUUGACUAGUCUCGUUCACAUAGAGAAUUUUCUUCAAAAUGCACUUCAUUGUUAGAAAACUACGAUUCAAAUUGCAAGCUUAGAGUUUUCUAAUGGAAAAUUUGUUCUCAUUCUUACUUUAUUGGAAAUUAUUUGCAGCAAAAAGCUCUCGCUAUCCAUUUAUAUAUUUACACAACUAGUCAGACAAAAUUAUUUAAUAUUUGGGCAAACUUAGUAAUGAAAAUUAAUUAUUUGGACAGUAAUGGUAAGAUCUUAAAUCGUCAACAGACUCCAUGCAGAGCUAUAGUGACAGAAUUAGCUACAAACACUUUAACAACUUGGACAUUUUGUCAUGACCUUUGAAUUAUAUACAUUUGAUGUAGAAAUGAGCUUGAUUUCUCCUAUCAUUUCAACAGGUGGUGAUGAAAAAUACUACCAGACUAUGCUCAAGCAAGCCUGUUGUCACCGUCAAUGGCCGAUUUCCAGGACCAACUCUGUAUGCCAGAGAAGACGAUACAGUUCUUGUAAAAGUUGUUAAUCAUGUCAAAUAUAAUGUGUCCAUCCACUGGUAAGAUACUAAAUAACAUUUAUCCUAAUUAACCAUGAAUGAUUCUGAUGUAGUUUUUUCUUGGUAUUUGGCAGGCAUGGCAUUAGGCAAUUAAGAACGGGCUGGGCUGACGGACCAGCGUACAUUACGCAAUGCCCCAUUCAGACAGGGCAAAGCUAUGUCUACAAUUUCACAAUCACAGGCCAGAGAGGCACACUUCUUUGGCAUGCACAUAUUCUCUGGUUAAGGGCCACAGUCCAUGGUGCAAUAGUUGUCUUGCCUAAGCGAGGUGUCCCCUACCCAUUCCCAGCUCCCCACAAGGAAUUUGUUGUUGUCUUAGGUGCGAAAGACGUACAAAUUUAUUGCUUCACCAUAACUUGAGCAAUUCUCGAGUUGAUAAGAAUGUGGUUCAAACCAUAACUCCAAGUAUAAGAUUCAUAGUUGUUAAAUAUGCAAUUCUGCAUUAACUUGGUUAAGUUAUAUUGCAGCCGAAUGGUGGAAAUCAGACACUGAAGCUGUGAUCAAUGAAGCUCUUAAAUCAGGAUUAGCACCAAAUGUCUCUGAUGCUCACACAAUUAAUGGGCAUCCAGGAGCUGUCUCAGCUUGUCCUUCACAGGGUAUUUAACUGGCAUGGCCUUAAAUUUAAUACUAAGGUUCCCGUUAUCAAGUUCACUAUAUUAAAAAGCUUACACAAGAAUGUUCUUCGAUUCUUGCAGGCGGUUUCACAUUGCCAGUCGAAAGUGGGAAGACCUACAUGCUACGGCUGAUCAAUGCUGCACUCAACGAAGAGCUCUUCUUCAAAAUUGCAGGGCACAAGCUUACUCUUGUGGAAGUUGAUGCCACCUACGUUAAACCUUUCAAAACUGAUACAGUCCUAAUUGCCCCAGGCCAGACCACCAAUGUCCUCGUCACAACUAACAAAAAUACGGGCAAGUACUUGGUUGCAGCCUCCCCAUUCAUGGAUGCUCCAAUUGCAGUAGACAACAUGACUGCAACAGCCACUUUGCACUAUUCGGGAGCACUUUCUGGCACCCCUACAACUCUCACCAUCCCACCUCCCAAGAAUGCCACUGCAGUUGCCAACCAAUUUACCAAUUCUCUACGCAGUCUAAACUCGAAAAGGUUCCCUGCCAAAGUCCCAUUAACUGUUGACCACAACCUUUUCUUCACUGUUGGUCUAGGAAUUAACCCGUGUCCAACUUGCAAAGCUGGUAAUGGUAGCAGAGUUGUUGCUAGUAUCAACAAUGUCACAUUUGUCAUGCCAACCACUGCCCUGCUUCAAGCACAUUUCUUCAACAUCAGUGGUGUGUUCACCACUGAUUUUCCUUCAAAGCCACCACAUGUUUUUAAUUACACAGGUACUCCACCAACAAAUUUGCAGACCACAAGUGGAACCAAAGUUUAUAGGUUGCGCUACAACUCGACAGUCGAGCUUGUUAUGCAAGAUACUGGGAUCAUAUCCCCUGAGAACCAUCCAAUCCAUCUACAUGGAUUCAAUUUCUUCGGUGUUGGUAGGGGAGUAGGGAAUUACAAUCCGAAGACUGAUCCUAAGAAAUUUAACCUUGUUGACCCUGUUGAGCGGAACACAAUUGGAGUACCUUCUGGUGGAUGG